This 250-nucleotide ribosomal RNA is filed under the name uncultured Flavobacteriaceae bacterium. RNAcentral describes it as "partial 16S ribosomal RNA". It matches the Rfam family "Bacterial small subunit ribosomal RNA", at positions 524 to 773 of the family's 1533-position model. The record is from RNAcentral. Lineage: Bacteria; Pseudomonadati; Bacteroidota; Flavobacteriia; Flavobacteriales; Flavobacteriaceae.
UACGGAGGAUCCAAGCGUUAUCCGGAAUCAUUGGGUUUAAAGGGUCCGUAGGCGGGAUGAUCAGUCAGUGGUGAAAGUCUGCAGCUCAACUGUAGAAUUGCCAUUGAUACUGUUGUCCUUGAGUUAUUAUGAAGUGGUUAGAAUGAGUAGUGUAGCGGUGAAAUGCAUAGAUAUUACUCAGAAUACCGAUUGCGAAGGCAGAUCACUAAUAAUAUACUGACGCUGAUGGACGAAAGCGUAGGUAGCGAAC